Molecule: ribosomal RNA, 492 nt
Filed under: uncultured bacterium
Lineage: Bacteria
Description: partial 16S ribosomal RNA
Rfam family: Bacterial small subunit ribosomal RNA
Source: RNAcentral
AGUGAACGCUGGCGGUAGGCCUAACACAUGCAAGUCGAACGGCAGCACAGUAAGAGCUUGCUCUUACGGGUGGCGAGUGGCGGACGGGUGAGGAAUACAUCGGAAUCUACUUUUUCGUGGGGGAUAACGUAGGGAAACUUACGCUAAUACCGCAUACGACCUACAGGUGAAAGCAGGGGAUCUUCGGACCUUGCGCGAUUGAAUGAGCCGAUGUCGGAUUAGCUAGUUGGCGGGGGAAAGGCCCACCAAGGCGACGAUCCGUAGCUGGUCUGAGAGGAUGAUCAGCCACACUGGAACUGAGACACGGUCCAGACUCCUACGGGAGGCAGCAGUGGGGAAUAUUGGACAAUGGGCGCAAGCCUGAUCCAGCCAUACCGCGUGGGUGAAGAAGGCCUUCGGGUUGUAAAGCCCUUUUGUUGGGAAAGAAAAGCAGCAGGUUAAUACCCCGCUGUUCUGACGGUACCCAAAGAAUAAGCACCGACUAACUUCGUG